This 1722-nucleotide ribosomal RNA is filed under the name Triticum aestivum (bread wheat). RNAcentral describes it as "partial small subunit ribosomal RNA". The record is from RNAcentral. Lineage: Eukaryota; Viridiplantae; Streptophyta; Magnoliopsida; Poales; Poaceae.
AUGUUUGAGCUGAAGAUGGUGAAGGGAAGCACCUUACAGGGUGUCCUGGAGGCGAUCCUCGACCUGGUCAAUGUGGCCAACGUCGACUGCUCCAGCGAGGGCUUCUCGCUCCAGGCCCUGGACACCGAACACGUCGUCUUCCUCUCGCUCUUCUUCCCCUCCGAGGCCUUCCAGUCCUACCGCUGCGACGAAGACCGCUCCAUGGGCAUCGCAAUCGCCGACAUGGUCGAUUUCCUCCGCUCCUCCAACGAUGGUGACAUCAUCACCAUCAAGGCCACCGACCAAAACUUGGAAGACAUUACCAUAACAUUAGAGUCGCCCGACAAGAUUAAAACUAUGGCUAUAGAUUUGCGGCUUGUGGACGCCACAAGCCAAUGCCUCAAAAUCCCGGAUUGGAACGAUAUGGAGUCGGACUACCAGGCCAUUUUCUGCAUGCCCUCUGAGGAGUUUAGGUUGAACUGCAAGUCCCUCAGCGUCAUCGACGACGAUGUUGUCAUCUCGGUGAAUGAGGAGGUCAUCAGCUUCUCUACUAAAGGAGAAAGUGGGUGCGUGAACAUUUCCCAUGUGAUGAACAAAACCGACAAGCCAGAAAAAGCUAGUGUUAUCCUUACACAUGCGCGAGGGCCACUUUCAUUGACCUUGAACUGGAGGUACAUGAAGUCCUGCGCCAAGGUGUCUAAGCUGUUUGAUCAAGUGAAGAUUGGUCUCUCCACCAAGCGACCUUUGAUGGUCGAGUGCCAAAUUGUAGAGAAGGGCUACAUCAGGUAUUUCGUGGCACCACUAAAGGCAGAGGAAGGGAAAACUGAGACCGAAGAGGCAGAGGGAGAGGAAGGGAGGCAAAGGAAGAAAGCAAAAAAAAAUGAUGAAACGGGAAGCAUCUUUAGUACCAUGUUGGAGCUGCGGAUGGUGAAGGCAAAGGGAAGCAUCUUCGAGGAUGUCCUGGAGGCGAUCCUCGACCUGGUCAAUGUGGCCAACGUCAACUGCUCCAGCAAGGGCUUCUCGCUCCAGGCCGUGGACACCGAACAGGUCGUCUUCCUCGCGCUCUUCUUCCCCCCCGAGGUCUUCCAGUCCUACCGCUGCGACAAACACUGCUCCAUGGGCAUCGCAAUCGCCGACAUAGUCAAUUUCCUCCGCGCCUCCAAAGAUGGUGACAUCAUCACCAUCAAGGUCACCGACCAAAACUUUGAAGACAUUACCAUAACAUUCGUGUCGCCCGACAAGACUAAAACUACGGCUAUGAAUUUGCGGCUUGUGGACGACAGAAGCCAUCGCCUCAAAAUCCCGGAUUGGCAGGAUAUGGAGUCGGAGUACCAGGCCAUUUUCUGCAUGCCCUCUAAGGUGUUUAUGUUGAACUGCAAGUCCCUCAGCGUCAUCGACGACGAUGUUGUCAUCAAGGUGAAUGAGAAGGUCAUCAGCUUCUUUACUUCAGGAGAAAGAAGGUGCAUGAACAUUUCCCAUGUGCUGAACAAAACUGACAAGCGUGUUACCCUUACACAUGCGCGAGGGCCAGUUUCAUUGGCCUUGAACCUGAGGUACAUGAAGUCCUGCGCCAAGGUGUCUUCUACCCUGUUUGAUCAAGUGAAGAUCGGUCUCUCCACCACGCUACCUUUGAUGGUCGAGUGCAUAAUUGCAGAGAAGGGCUACAUCAGGUAUUUCGUGGCACCACUAAAGGAAGAGGAAGGGAGGCAAAGGAAGAAAGCAAAAAAAAAAAGAAGAAGAUGA